GGGGGAAUAUUUGCACAAUGGGCGCAAGCCUGAUGCAGCCAUGCCGCGUGUAUGAAGAAGGCCUUCGGGUUGUAAAGUACUUUUCAGCAGUGAGGAAGGCGGGUACGUUAAUAGCGUGCUUUGGUUUUGACGUUAGCUGCAGAAGAAGCACCGGCUAACUCCGUGCCAGCAGCCGCGGUAAUACGGAGGGUGCGAGCGUUAAUCGGAAGUUUACUGGGCGUAAAGCGCAUGCAGGUGGUUUGUUAAGUCAGAUGUGAAAGCCCGGGGCUCAACCUCGGAAUUGCAUUUGAAACUGGCAGACUAGAGUACUGUAGAGGGGGUAGAAUUUCAGGUGUAGCGGUGAAAAUGCGUAGAGAUCUGAAGGAAUACCGGUGGCGAAGGCGGCCCCCUGGACAGAUACUGACACUCAGAUGCGAAAAGCGUGGGGAGCAAACAGGAUUAGAUACCCUGGUAG
This 454-nucleotide ribosomal RNA is filed under the name uncultured bacterium. Its description in RNAcentral is "bacterial SSU rRNA". It matches the Rfam family "Bacterial small subunit ribosomal RNA", at positions 355 to 793 of the family's 1533-position model. The record is from RNAcentral.